GACGAACGCUGGCGGCGUGCCUAAUACAUGCAAGUCGAACGAGAGCAACCGGUGCUUGCACUGGUCAAUCUAGUGGCGAACGGGUGAGUAACACGUGGGUAACCUGCCCAUCAGAGGGGGAUAACAUCCGGAAACGGAUGCUAAAACCGCAUAGGUCUUCGAACCGCAUGGUUUGAAGAGGAAAAGAGGCGCAAGCUUCUGCUGAUGGAUGGACCCGCGGUGCAUUAGCUAGUUGGUGAGGUAACGGCUCACCAAGGCCGUGAUGCAUUGCCGACCUGAGAGGGUGAUCGGCCACAUUGGGACUGAGACACGGCCCAAACUCCUCCGGGAGGCACCAGUAGGGAGUCUUCCGGAAUGGACGCAAGUCUGACGGAGCAGCGCCGCGUGAGUGAAGAAGGUUUUCGGAUCGUGAAACUCUGUUGUUAGAGAAGAACAAGUGCUAGAGUAACUGUUAGCGCCUUGACGGUAUCUAACCAGAAAGCCACGGCUAACUACGUG
RNAcentral lists this ribosomal RNA (498 nucleotides) under uncultured bacterium. RNAcentral's name for it is "partial 16S ribosomal RNA". It matches the Rfam family "Bacterial small subunit ribosomal RNA", at positions 28 to 507 of the family's 1533-position model. The record is from RNAcentral.